UUUCUACAUCUCUUCUUUUCGCUUCCACUUGCUUUUCAAGUUGAUCCUCUACUUUAUUUUCAUCACGAAGCUUCUUCUCGCUUGCUUUGAAAAUUUAGGUUUACAGCGAGAUGAGCUGUAAAUUUGUAGUUUCGCCUUGUUUGGGAAGAUUUAUUCAAAAGCUGUUCCUUUUUUCCAUUUUUUGUUAGCUUGAGACUAGAAAUGUUCUUUCUCCAAGUUUGGAUUUUGAAGUGGAGGCACUAUCUAUCUGAACAUAUAUUUGAAGUUAAACUGCUGAUCCAGUUACUAGUAUUAGAACACUUGGUGCACUGAUCUUUACUUUUUGGUGCAUUUCAGGCAAGAGGGCUGAAGAAACACUUGAAGAGGCUUAAUGCCCCAAAGCAUUGGAUGCUUGACAAGCUUGGAGGUGCAUUUGUAUGUUGUCUAAACCUAGCGCCUUUUUGUUUUGGUAUAUAUGUUAUUAUUGUCUAUUAUCUCUUAUUCAUUGUAUAUACAUUGUUCUAUGAUUUACUGUGCAGGCCCCCAAACCAUCAUCUGGACCUCACAAGUCAAGGGAAUGCUUGCCUUUGAUCCUCAUUCUGCGUAACAGGCUGAAAUAUGCUCUCACAUAUCGUGAAGUUAUUGCAAUUUUGAUGCAGAGACAUGUGCUUGUUGAUGGGAAGGUUAGGACAGAUAAGACUUACCCUUCGGGUUUCAUGGGUAUGUCACUUCACUAUAUUUAUUUGUUUGUUUAUUUAGUUUACCCUUGAGAUUAGAUCUUUAUACAUGAGGAAUUGUUUUUAUUUUUCAUUAUGUAACUGGGCCUUGGGGAUAUCUGGGUAGAGGCAAUUAAUAAUUUCAGCUGCUAAAGCGUUUGGCCAGAGAUGGUUGCUUUGGGAAAUAUUACAUCUAUUGGCACUGUCCAAUGAUUAUGAAAUUUGAGAUCAGCAAUAUAGACUUCUUGUUAGGAGGUGGUCAUUAUAUGUGAUUGACAUUGAGGACACCAUAUUAAUGUGAAGUCUUCUUUAUGUAUUUUUAUCCUUUGAACUAUGUAAUAUUCAUUUGCAUCAUAUGCUGUGUUUUGUUCUCUAUAAACAGAUGUUGUGUCAAUUCCCAAGACAAAUGAGAACUUCCGCCUCCUUUAUGACACUAAAGGACGCUUCCGUCUGCACUCUAUCAGAGAUGAUGAGGCUAAGGUUUUUCUGUUCUUGUGCUUAUUUCUUAUGUGUGAAACAUUUUGUAUUCAGUUAAUUUUGCGCUCUUAUUUUUUUCAUUUGAGAAUGGUAUGAAUUAUACAUGUGGUUUUUUUCAUGUUUGCUUUAUAGCUUUGACGACUUCUUGAUGCCAUUAUUUGUUAAUGGUUUGCAGUUCAAGCUUUGCAAGGUUCGAUCAGUUCAAUUUGGCCAAAAGGGUAUCCCUUACAUAAAUACCUAUGACGGCCGCACCAUCCGCUACCCAGAUCCACUCAUCAAGGCUAAUGACACGAUCAAGCUAGACCUUGAUAGUAACAAGAUUGCAGACUUCAUCAAGUUUGAUGUGGGAAAUAUUGUCAUGGUCACUGGAGGAAGGAACAGGGGGCGAGUUGGAAUUAUAAAGAAUAGGGAGAAGCACAAGGGGAGUUUCGAGACAAUUCACAUUCAAGAUGCCACUGGCCAUGAGUUUGCCACUCGCUUGGGCAAUGUGUUCACUAUUGGAAAGGGAAACAAACCAUGGGUGUCUCUGCCCAAGGGCAAAGGUAUCAAGUUGUCUAUUAUUGAGGAGGCUAGGAAGAGGCUCGCUGCAGCCCCAACUGUUGCGUAAAGAUGUCUCGAAUUAUUGUCUUGGGUGUUCUAUCAGGAUGAGGGAAACUGUUAAUUGCCUUUCAUUUGGUGCACAAGAAAUUUUUAUGGGGACAAUUUUGAACUAUAUUUGUCUCCAUAAUUUUUUACUGUAUUUGUAUUUCAAUUUUAGUCACAUUUUUCCUGUUACUGAGAUGAAAAUUAAGACUUUAUGUUUGUCAGUCUUAUGCUAGUAUUUUUGAGUUUGUCGUGCCCUUAAUGAGAGGCUUGUGCAAGCGUUGUGCUGUGUGCUGGACGGUUUUUUUAAUUUAAUUUUGCCAAAGCUAAACAAAAAAAGAUUGAAAUCUUAACUUUUCCCUAAUUUAAUUUUACCAAAGCUAAACAAAAGAAAAUCUAUUAGUUCCUAUGCGGCACACAUUUGAUUUACAGUAUUAUAUAGGUAUCUAUUGCAUUUUUAAUAAAAUUGGUAAGUUUGUCCUUUAUCAUGGACAGAUGAUUUAAAAUCUUUCCUUUAGAUUUUUUUUUUUUAAUCUACAUCAUAGAUAUUUUUAUAAAACGAAUUUAAUUAUUUCUUUAGAGAUGAAUAGAUAAUUUAAAGCAACUUAAAGAUAUCAAUCAUAUGUAGAGAAUUAUAAUAUGGAUCAAAAUAAAGGCUUAUUUAUUUUUUAAUUAAAAGGAUUUAUUUAACUCAUUUUUAAAAUAUUUAUUUAAUUCACUUCAAUAAAUAAAAGUUUUAUUUAAAUUAAAAAAGUUUAGACCUCUCAUGGCAAAAUAGUCAUUUUGCCUUUUCAUUAACAUAAAUUUUGUAAAAUUUGAGAGAGGGCGGUGCUUCUCAUUUUUACUUAUUUAAUUAGAUUUUAUGAAAUAAAAAAAAGGAAAUAAAGUAAUUAGGGUUUUGGGGUUGGAGGAGAAACGAGAGUUUGGAAUAUUUAAAGCCCUACAGCCGCAGACCCUUCCCUUGGGAUUCAGCAGCAGAGCAACACAGCGGAAGGCGGAAGUAGAGGGAGGAGAACGCUCUUCAGAGAAUGGUAAGGUUUUUACAUCUCUUCUUUUCGCUUCCACUUGUUUUUCUAGUUGAUCCUCUAUUUUACUUUCAUGACUGAACUUAUUCUCGCUUGCUUAGAAAAUUCAGGUCUACAGCAAGAAGAGUGUAAAUUUGUAGUUUUGCCUUGUUCUGGGAAGAUUUAUGUAAAAGCUGUUUAUUUUUACCCUUUUUCCCCCUUUUUGUAGUUUCGGACUAGAAAUCUUCUUUCUCCAAGUUUAGAUUUUGAAAUAUGUAGUAAUCCAAAUUAAUAAAACGGUGAUCCAACGGUAACAUGCAGUGUGAGCUCCAAGUUGUUGGUAGUGAAAAGGUUGUUAGGCUAGCAUCAUCUAUUAGUUACUUUGGGGGGGGGGACUUGUAACUAUUGUUAGUCUUCAGCAAUGAAUAGGGCUGUAGUCGUUCAUGUGAGAAUAUUGUGGAAAAUUGUUAAUGAGAUUAGUGUGGUUCUUGGAGCCAUUGUGAUUCUUUAGUUGUUUUCUUGCUGUUUCUUGAUUUAGUCUCUAGUUUCCAUCAAUUGGUAAUUCUUUUCAGGACUUCUAUUUUCUUGAUUCAAUUAUUUCUUCAUCUUUCUCGUAAAUUUUAUUUCUCAUUGCAUUGAGAAUCAUGGAUCACAUUUCUCUUGAAAUCACAAGAACAAGGUCAGAGUUGGAUGAUAGAAGAUGUGAGGGUUUAUGUUUAUGGUUUUAAGAAACCUAUUCAUUGAGCCACAAUUGUGACAAGGCACCAUUAUUUGUGACCAUUAUUGAUGAUGAAGUAGAUUAAGAAGAUGGGAAUCUAGAGAUUGCAGAGGAGUUAUCUGUUGUAAUUUCUGAUGUAAUCAGACCUGAAUCUGAGUCACAAUUAGUAGCUGUUGAAACCUUGUGAACCUGCUCUUCAUAAAGUCAUGGCAAUGAAUUCAGCUGACAGCCUGCAGGAUGAGAUCGUGGAAGUGGGGCUUGCUGAGAAUUCAAAGUCAAGGGGGCCCAUGAAAGCUAGAAAAGUGAAGGAUUUGGGAAAAUUGGGGAGUGGAGAUGAGGUGGCACCUUUGAUUGAUUGAACCAUAUCCUCUUUCGAGAAGAAAAUUAAAUGGGAAUGUGGAGUUUGUGCAAGAGGAGAUAGCGGAGUGUCUUUAAUGUUUAUAGGUGUUGGUGAAGCAUUUGCCAAACAGUUGGAUGAUAGUCCCAAUGCCAGCUGUCCUUGGAAAAGUUCUUUGUAGUGUAUUUUUGAUAAUUUGGUUCUUUUGCAAUUUCUAUUGCUUCCUAUUGUUGCUGCAUUUGCUACUGAGCAAAUAUGGUUUCUUGGGAUUCAAUAGUUAGUUGUGACUUUACUUCUGGAGAAAAAGAUUUGACGUUAGAAGGCAUAAAUAGGUUGAAAUUUUAUUUGGGAAAAAUCAAAUGCAAGAUGAACAAGUGUUGAGACAAGACCCGACUGGACAUUUGGAAAUUAAUAAUUAAUAAAAUGCAAGAUGGAGCUCUGUAAAUUGCAAAAAGAUUCAAUUGGGCAUUUGGAAAUGAUAAAAUUCAAGGUGAAGUACUUCAAAUUGCAAAAGAAUUCAACUUCAGUUGGGUAUUUGGGAAUGAUCAAAUGCAAGAUGAAACAAAGCUAUGCCAACCCACAAGAAUUUUGUCUCAGUUGGGAAGAAAAAUCUAGAAAAUGCAAUUUGGAGUAUGCUGUAGAUAUUCAAUUGAGGCUCCUGCAUUUACUUCUUGAGGACAAAGAGCUUUCGCUUGGGGAGUAUUGUUUAAUCCAAAGUAAUAAAAUGGGGAUCCAACAGUGACAUGCAGAGUGAGCUCCAAUUUGUUAUGGUAGUUACAGGUUGUUAGGCGUGUGCGAUUUGUUAGUUACUCGGGCGGGAACUUGUAACCAUUGUUAGUGUUUAGCUAUAAAUAGGGCUGUAGUCAUUCAUAUGAGAAUAUUCUGGAAAUUUUUUAAUGACAUGAGCGUGCUUCUUGGAGCCAUUGUGUUUUUUUAGUUGCUUCCAUUUUUGUAUCACAACAAAGUGGAGGCCCUAUUUAUCUGAACGUAUAUUUAAAUUGUUGCUGAUCCGGUUACUAAUAUUAGAAUAAUAUCCUUGACUAAUUGCUGUAGCUUUCCAUUGAUCUUUACUUUUUGGUGCAUUUCAGGCAAGAGGGCUGAAGAAACACUUGAAGAGGCUUAAUGCCCCAAAGCAUUGGAUGCUUGACAAGCUUGGAGGUGCAUUUGUAUGUUGUGUAAACCUUGUGUCUAUUUUUUUUGGUAUAUAUAUUAUUAUUGUCUAUACUCUCUUAUUCAUUGAAUAUACGUUGUUCUAUGAUUUGCUGUGCAGGCCCCCAAACCAUCAUCUGGACCUCACAAGUCAAGGGAAUGCUUGCCUCUGAUCCUUAUUCUGCGUAACAGGCUGAAAUAUGCUCUCACAUAUCGUGAAGUUAUUGCUAUUUUGAUGCAGAGACAUGUUCUUGUUGAUGGGAAGGUUAGGACAGAUAAGACUUACCCUUCGGGUUUCAUGGGUAUGUCACUUCACCUUGAUCACUAUAGCUCGUUUAUUUUUUUAUUUGUUUAUUUAGAUUUUCCUUGAGAUUUGAUCUCCACACAAGAGGAAUUGUUUUUAUUUUUCAUUAUGAAUUGGGGCUUGGGGAUUUAUGUUUAUAGACAAUUAAUGAUUUUAGCUACCAAAAUGUUUGGCCAGAGAUGGUUGCUAUGGGAAAUAUGGCACAUUUAUUAGCAGUGUAGAAUGAUUAUGAAAUUUGAGAUCAGCAAUAUAGACUUCUUCUUGGGAGGUGGUCAUUAUAUGUGAUUUAUGUUGUGGACACCAUAUUAAUGUGAAGCCG
RNAcentral lists this long non-coding RNA (5585 nucleotides) under Manihot esculenta (cassava). RNAcentral describes it as "long non-coding RNA (MESC_LNC008950)". Lineage: Eukaryota; Viridiplantae; Streptophyta; Magnoliopsida; Malpighiales; Euphorbiaceae. The record is from RNAcentral.